This 1155-nucleotide unclassified non-coding RNA is filed under the name Hevea brasiliensis (rubber tree). The record is from RNAcentral. Lineage: Eukaryota; Viridiplantae; Streptophyta; Magnoliopsida; Malpighiales; Euphorbiaceae.
UCUCCAUAUGAACCUAGUCCAAUCCUCUCUCCAAUAACCAGAUCUUCCCAAGGAAUUUCGCAUUCACCCACAUCUACAUCGUCAAAAAUUUGAUCAAUCCUGCUCGUGGAGGAAUCAAUUGAUGAGCUAGGACUUUCUGGUUCCUUUAGUUUCAGAUUGGUCCCCAAAAAUCUGUCAUAAGUGCACUUUCUCCGAUCAAAGCCAAUUUCAUUAUUUUCAUCAUCUUUAACUAUGACUCCUGCAUCAUUUGUGAAAUUCUUUGCAUCCCUCGGCUUUUCUUCUUUAACCUCAACUAAAGGAGACUUAUAGCAUUGAUUCAUGCCAGGUGCCAAAGCUGGCGAGUUACCACUCAAAGAAUUCAUAGCAUCACCACCUCUACUGGAUGUAUUCAAAUUACUGGAUGACUUGAGGCCCUGAGAAUAAACCUUCUCGGGAAUAGUAGAGCUGGUAGAAGCUAAUGACGACUGAUUAUAAUUAUUUGGUUCCUGAUUAAUUCUUGGAAAGAGACCGUCCAUAUAAUCAUAUUCUUUUUUCCUGGGGACUUCAUUGCAUGCAUAUCGAUUCUUCCACAUCAAUGGCACAGGGGGUCGACCAGGAAGGGGAUUAUUUUUCUGCCCUUUAAAGUCCUCAACUUUGUUCUCAGCAUGUUUGUUGUGUAUGAAACUUUUUCCAGUUCCUUUGAUCUGGAAAGGAUUAAGUUCUGAAAAAAGGAUUUUCGAAUCCUCUGAGCUAUUUUGACUAUAUGGAACAACAUUAACAUUCAUCCUCACAGUAUCACCUAUUCCUUGGGCUCCACGACUACCCUUGUACAGAGAAGACCCAAUAAUUGAGGAGGAAAUAUUAUCAUGUUGAUUAGAAGGAGCUGCUCUACUAGACAUACCAGAAGAACCAACACCAACAUCACUAUUUGCACCAGAGAAUGAUGCUGAGGACUCCACACUGUCAGCACUUAACCUUCUAUCCAGAGGCAAACUACCAUCCACUGAAGAGUUCUGACUACUGCCUUCACCAGAUAAUGGCUUUGAUCCAGCAUAAAGAAUUCCAGAUUCAUUAGAAGCAUGAAGACCAGAUAUCCUACUAGUUUUUGGAUUAUAUGAUCUAAAGGUAGUGUCCUUCACACUUAGAACAUCAGCCGGUAAAAGUGUCCCUGGAUCU